RNAcentral lists this ribosomal RNA (253 nucleotides) under uncultured bacterium. Its description in RNAcentral is "partial 16S ribosomal RNA". It matches the Rfam family "Bacterial small subunit ribosomal RNA", at positions 524 to 776 of the family's 1533-position model. The record is from RNAcentral.
UACGUAGGGUGCAGGCGUUAAUCGGAAUUACUGGGCGUAAAGCGUGCGCAGGCGGUUUCUUAAGUCAGAUGUGAAAUCCCCGGGCUUAACCUAGGAACUGCGUUUGAAACUGGAAGGCUAGAGUGUGGCAGAGGCAAGUGGAAUUUGUAGUGUAGCAGUGAAAUGCGUAGAUAUUACAAGGAACACCAAUGGCGAAGGCAGCUUGCUGGGCCUUUUCUGACGCUGAGGUACGAAAGCGUGGGGAGCGAACAGG